Molecule: ribosomal RNA, 253 nt
Filed under: uncultured bacterium
Lineage: Bacteria
Description: partial 16S ribosomal RNA
Rfam family: Bacterial small subunit ribosomal RNA
Source: RNAcentral
UACAGAGGGUGCAAGCGUUAAUCGGAAUUACUGGGCGUAAAGCGUGCGUAGACGGUUAUAUAAGUCGGAUGUGAAAGCCCCGGGCUCAACCUGGGAAUUGCAUUCGAGACUGUGUAGCUAGGAUGCGGAAGAGGGAAGCGGAAUUUCCGGUGUAGCGGUGAAAUGCGUAGAUAUCGGAAGGAACACCAGUGGCGAAAGCGGCUUCCUGGUCCAGCAUCGACGUUCAGGCACGAAAGCGUGGGGAGCAAACAGG